UACAGAGGUCUCAAGCGUUGUUCGGAUUCAUUGGGCGUAAAGAGCGUGUAGGCGGUCCGGUAAGUCCGCUGUGAAGGUCGGGGGCUCAACCCUCGAAUGCCGGUGGAUACUGUCGGGCUAGAGUGCGGAAGAGGCGAGUGGAAUUCCUGGUGUAGCGGUGAAAUGCGCAGAUAUCAGGAGGAACACCUAUUGCGAAGGCAGCUCGCUGGGACGUAACUGACGCUGAGACGCGAAAGCGUGGGGAGCAAACAGG
This 253-nucleotide ribosomal RNA is filed under the name uncultured bacterium. Its description in RNAcentral is "partial 16S ribosomal RNA". It matches the Rfam family "Bacterial small subunit ribosomal RNA", at positions 524 to 776 of the family's 1533-position model. The record is from RNAcentral.